RNAcentral lists this unclassified non-coding RNA (240 nucleotides) under soil metagenome. RNAcentral's name for it is "partial contains 5.8S ribosomal RNA, internal transcribed spacer 2, and large subunit ribosomal RNA". The record is from RNAcentral.
AACCAUAGAAACCUGCGGAGUACCUGCGGAAGGAUCAUUACAGAGUUCGUGCCCUCGCGGGUAGAUCUCCCACCCUUGUGUACUUUCUACAUCUUGUUGCUUUGGCAGGCCGUUGGUUCGCCAACCACCGGCUCGCGGGCUGGUGCGUGCCUGCCAGAGGACCUCUCAAACUCGGUUUGUUAGUGUCGUCUGAGUACCAUAACAAUCGUUAAAACUUUCAACAACGGAUCUCAGAUCGGA